CAAUAGCGUAUAUUAAAGUUGUUGCAGUUAAAAAGCUCGUAGUUGGAUUUCUGGUAGGAGCGACCGUGCCGAACUUGAUUGUUCGAGUAUUGUGUUGUCUUCAGCCAUCCUCGUGGAGAACUUUUCUAACAUUAACUUGUUGGGAUUGGGACCCGCGUCGUUUACUGUGAAAAAAUUAGAGUGUUUAAAGCAGGCAUUAGCUUGAAUACAUUAGCAUGGAAUAAUAAGAUAGGACUUUGGUACUAUUUUGUUGGUUUGCAUACCAAAUUAAUGAUCAACAGGAACAGUUUGAGGAUAUUCGUAUGAACAUGUCAGAGGUGAAAUUCUUGGAUUUUGAUCAGACGAACUACUGCGAAAGCAUUUACCAAGGAUGUUUUCAUUAA
Molecule: ribosomal RNA, 383 nt
Filed under: uncultured eukaryote
Lineage: Eukaryota
Description: partial 18S ribosomal RNA
Rfam family: Eukaryotic small subunit ribosomal RNA
Source: RNAcentral